AGAGUUUGAUCAUGGCUCAGAUUGAACGCUGGCGGCAGGCCUAACACAUGCAAGUCGAGCGGUAACAGAUUGAUAGCUUGCUAUCAAUGCUGACGAGCGGCGGACGGGUGAGUAAUGCCUGGGAAUAUACCCUGAUGUGGGGGAUAACUAUUGGAAACGAUAGCUAAUACCGCAUAAUCUCUUGUCUUUUACGAGAUGGGAGCAAAGAGGGGGACCUUCGGGCCUCUCGCGUCAGGAUUAGCCCAGGUGGGAUUAGCUAGUUGGUGAGGUAAUGGCUCACCAAGGCGACGAUCCCUAGCUGGUCUGAGAGGAUGAUCAGCCACACUGGAACUGAGACACGGUCCAGACUCCUACGGGAGGCAGCAGUGGGGAAUAUUGCACAAUGGGGGAAACCCUGAUGCAGCCAUGCCGCGUGUAUGAAGAAGGCCUUCGGGUUUAAAGUACUUUCAGUUGUGAGGAAGGCGUUGAAGUUAAUAGCUUCAGCGCUUGACGUUAGCAACAGAAGAAGCACCGGCUAACUCCGUGCCAGCAGCCGCGGUAAUACGGAGGGUGCGAGCGUUAAUCGGAAUUACUGGGCGUAAAGCGCAUGCAGGCGGUCUGUUAAGCAAGAUGUGAAAGCCCGGGGCUCAACCUCGGAACAGCAUUUUGAACUGGCAGACUGAGGGGGGUAGAAUUUCA
RNAcentral lists this ribosomal RNA (678 nucleotides) under uncultured Vibrionaceae bacterium. RNAcentral describes it as "bacterial SSU rRNA". It matches the Rfam family "Bacterial small subunit ribosomal RNA", at positions 8 to 671 of the family's 1533-position model. Lineage: Bacteria; Pseudomonadati; Pseudomonadota; Gammaproteobacteria; Vibrionales; Vibrionaceae. The record is from RNAcentral.